AUACUAAGAAAGGUUAAAUAACUUGUUCAAAUGUGCACAGAUAGAAGGGGGAGAGCUAGGAUUUUCACCUAGGCAUCUUGGUUCAGCAUUCACACCUGACAACUAUGAAGAGUCAGCCCUGGGUUGUUAAGAC
Molecule: long non-coding RNA, 133 nt
Organism: Dipodomys spectabilis (banner-tailed kangaroo rat)
Lineage: Eukaryota; Metazoa; Chordata; Mammalia; Rodentia; Heteromyidae
Exons: 3
Source: RefSeq, a predicted model, not a curated record